GACGAACGCUGGCGGCGUGCUUAACACAUGCAAGUCGAACGAUGAAGCCUUCGGGUGGAUUAGUGGCGAACGGGUGAGUAACACGUGGGUGACCUGCCCUUAGCUCUGGGAUAAGCCUGGGAAACUGGGUCUAAUACCGGAUAUGACUCCAUGACGCAUGUUGUGGGGUGGAAAGCCUUGUGCGGCUAGGGAUGGGCCCGCGGCCUAUCAGCUUGUUGGUGGGGUGAUGGCCUACCAAGGCGACGACGGGUAGCCGGCCUGAGAGGGCGACCGGCCACACUGGGACUGAGACACGGCCCAGACUCCUACGGGAGGCAGCAGUGGGGAAUCUUGCGCAAUGGGCGAAAGCCUGACGCAGCGACGCCGCGUGGGGA
This 374-nucleotide ribosomal RNA is filed under the name uncultured bacterium. Its description in RNAcentral is "bacterial SSU rRNA". It matches the Rfam family "Bacterial small subunit ribosomal RNA", at positions 28 to 407 of the family's 1533-position model. The record is from RNAcentral.